This 76-nucleotide transfer RNA is filed under the name Pokkaliibacter plantistimulans. Its description in RNAcentral is "tRNA-His". It matches the Rfam family "tRNA". From Rfam's summary of the family: Transfer RNA (tRNA) molecules are approximately 80 nucleotides in length. Their secondary structure includes four short double-helical elements and three loops (D, anti-codon, and T loops). Lineage: Bacteria; Pseudomonadati; Pseudomonadota; Gammaproteobacteria; Oceanospirillales; Balneatrichaceae. The record is from RNAcentral.
GUGGGCGUAGCUCAGUUGGCAGAGCUCCGGACUGUGAUUCCGGCGGCCGUGGGUUCAAGCCCCAUCACCCACCCCA